AUCGGUUUGUCCAUUGGAUACCCUAACCUUUAUUUCUCGGCCGUCCGAUUGAAUCGGAGGGUCCAGAUCAGCCCUAUCCAAACCCACCUACCUAUUUAAGCAGUCAAACCCUAAAAUCUAGGAUCCUUGUCCCAUCCAUUCCCUCCCCAAUUCCCGCAGCGCCGCCGCCACCAUCUUCCUCGGGAUCUCCUCCCGACCAACCCCCCUUCCUCCUCGUUGCGCGUUCGCACCCAACAGAGCGCUCGCGUGCAGCCGCCGCUUCCCCGCAGGCGUCCCCGCGCAGUAGCAGCAGCCAGCCUCCAGGUCGGCCAUGUCCCUCUCCGUCCCCCUCCCUGUGUUCCUCUGCGCCCUUCCCUCCUACUCGCUGUGUCUCAUUCCUCUCCCCCUGUUGCGCUGCAGCAACAUCUUCGAGGAGCACCGCCAGCAGCGUAUGGACGCAGCAGCGGCCCCAUCUGCGCGCACCUCGCCGCUAGUGUCGGUUGGGCACCGGCACCCCUUCCGCCAGCUGCGCCUAUCGGUGACCCCGACCUCGUCCAAGCAGCGUGCGGCGCUAGCAGGGGAUCGACCCG
This 569-nucleotide long non-coding RNA is filed under the name Hordeum vulgare. RNAcentral's name for it is "long non-coding RNA (HVUL_LNC010632)". The record is from RNAcentral. Lineage: Eukaryota; Viridiplantae; Streptophyta; Magnoliopsida; Poales; Poaceae.